Molecule: ribosomal RNA, 427 nt
Filed under: uncultured beta proteobacterium
Lineage: Bacteria; Pseudomonadati; Pseudomonadota; Betaproteobacteria
Description: bacterial SSU rRNA
Rfam family: Bacterial small subunit ribosomal RNA
Source: RNAcentral
UGGGGAAUUUUGGACAAUGGGCGAAAGCCUGAUCCAGCCAUGCCGCGUGAGUGAAGAAGGCCUUCGGGUUGUAAAGCUCUUUUAGUCGGAAAGAAAGAGUUGCAAUGAAUAAUUGUGAUUUAUGACGGUACCGACAGAAAAAGCACCGGCUAACUACGUGCCAGCAGCCGCGGUAAUACGUAGGGUGCGAGCGUUAAUCGGAAUUACUGGGCGUAAAGGGUGCGCAGGCGGUCUUGCAAGUCAGAUGUGAAAGCCCCGGGCUUAACCUGGGAAUUGCGUUUGAAACUACAAGGCUAGAGUGCAGCAGAGGGGAGUGGAAUUCCAUGUGUAGCAGUGAAAUGCGUAGAGAUGUGGAAGAACACCGAUGGCGAAGGCAGCUCCCUGGGUUGCCACUGACGCUCAUGCACGAAAGCGUGGGGAGCAAACA